CAAUGUACAUGCGUGUUGAAACCGCGUGGAAAUAUUGUCAAAGUGAUAAACGAUGGAAAAAUAAAACAAAUUAAUAUUACAUGCUGAAGUUACAAUACUUCUACAUUUUUGAAGACGGUUAUUGAUUUACAGGAAGUCUAAUACUUAGUUCAAGUCAAUAUUUUCAAUUUAAGUUACAAAAAUAUUGAAUGUAAGAAAAUGACAAUUUUUAAGAAAUCUGAAAGGAUCCUGGUCGCCCUCGACGAAAGUGGUUUGAUGUCAUAAAGGAUUGGACUGGACUUAGAUACAACCAACUGAAAAUAGCGGCCCAAAGCCGCGAGGGAUUCCGUAUGCUGACCUCCAAACUUCAAUUCGAAGAUGGCACCCCAGGUUGAUGAUGAUGAUGAAAGGAUCAUUUGUUCACACAGAGUCAAUAUUGUACUUCUCCGUUAUAAUGUUCGUGAGCAGUGACCAGACCUCGGGCCGGGUCGCAACCCGGGCGACCUGCCGGGGCGGGGAGAGUAUUGAUUUCCAGCCUCCAGGGCGCAAGACACGACCACUCACAGGAUGAUAGUCCCCUGUUUGCACACAUCAAAGCGCCUCAUUAGUGGACCCGGCCUUUGAAGCGAACCCGAGUAAUCACGCAAGUGCUGUUUCUGACUGAGGUUAUGUUUGUGUAGUCGCUGUUGCUUUAAUUUGCACAGCAAAUAUUGAAAUAUGUUCGCAAAAAGAGAGUAAGUUCCGCUAGACUUAUCCCACACUAGCUCUUGCCCGCGGUUUCACCCGCGUGUAUUUAUCUGCGAAAGCGGUCAAACAGACGAUUUUCAUACAAACACUCACGUCCCCAACAUUUGGGAAUUGAUUUUUAGAAAAAAAAUAGCCUAUGUUUGAACGGGGGUCUUUAAUUAUAUGCGUACCAAAUUUCAUCAAAAUUGGUCCAGCGAUUUAGCCGUGAAAGCAUAACAGACACACAGAUAGACAGACGACAGACUUUCGCAUUUACAAUAUUAGUAUAUGGAUUAUUUAAAUAAAUAUACAUAAAUAAUUAUUCAAAAUUUGACUACAGACGUAGACUGACUUCACAUCACCUAAGCUAGCUAUGCACAUGUGCUAUCGCCAACAGUUUUGAGUGCAAUGGGGAGCUGCAUGUGAGCAAACCUGUCUAUGAUUACGACUGGAUAAACUUUCACGUUCUCAAAUUUUUG
Plodia interpunctella (Indianmeal moth) is the source of this 1184-nucleotide long non-coding RNA. RefSeq lists it as uncharacterized. NCBI's taxonomy places the organism in Eukaryota, Metazoa, Arthropoda, Insecta, Lepidoptera, Pyralidae. The transcript is spliced from 3 exons. The record is from RefSeq and is a predicted model, not a curated record.